UACGAAGGGAGCGAGCGUUGUUCGGAAUCACUGGGCUUAAAGCGUGCGUAGGUGGAUUGGUAAGUAAGGAGUGAAAUCCCAGGGCUUAACCCUGGAACUGCUCUUUAGACUGCCUGUCUGGAAUUCGGAAGAGGUUGGUGGAACUCCCAGUGUAGAGGUGAAAUUCGCAGAUAUUGGGAAGAACACCGGUGGCGAAGGCGACCAACUGGUCCGACAUUGACACUGAGGCACGAAAGCGUGGGGAUCAAACAGG
This 253-nucleotide ribosomal RNA is filed under the name uncultured bacterium. RNAcentral describes it as "partial 16S ribosomal RNA". It matches the Rfam family "Bacterial small subunit ribosomal RNA", at positions 524 to 776 of the family's 1533-position model. The record is from RNAcentral.